Drosophila subpulchrella is the source of this 79-nucleotide small nucleolar RNA. RefSeq annotates it as small nucleolar RNA Me18S-Gm1358. The transcript has a single exon. Lineage: Eukaryota; Metazoa; Arthropoda; Insecta; Diptera; Drosophilidae. The record is from RefSeq and is a predicted model, not a curated record.
UUUUUAAUAUGAUGAUAUUUCCAUGCACCACUCUGAAGCUUUCAAAAGCGUCGUGCAGAUUAUGGAUUUCUGAACAUUG